RNAcentral lists this transfer RNA (62 nucleotides) under Ixodes philipi. Its description in RNAcentral is "tRNA-Tyr". Lineage: Eukaryota; Metazoa; Arthropoda; Arachnida; Ixodida; Ixodidae. The record is from RNAcentral.
GUAAAGUGGCUGAGUAUUAGGCAAUAAAUUGUAAAUUUAUUUAUGAAUAAAAUUCCUUUUCC